ACUCAAAUGAAUAGACGGGGGCCCGCACAAGCAGUGGAGUAUGUGGUUUAAUUCGAAGCAACGCGAAGAACCUUACCAGGGCUUGACAUACCAUUGACCGCGCAAGAGAUUGCGCUUUCCUUCGGGACAAUGGAUACAGGUGGUGCAUGGUUGUCGUCAGCUCGUGUCGUGAGAUGUUGGGUUAAGUCCCGCAACGAGCGCAACCCUUGUUUUUAGUUGCCAGCAUGUAAUGAUGGGCACUCUAGAGAGACUGCCGGUGACAAAUCGGAGGAAGGUGGGGACGACGUCAAAUCAUCAUGCCCCUUAUGUCCUGGGCUACACACGUACUACAAUGGCUACUACAGCGCGACGCAAUAUCGUAAGAUGGAGCAAAACGUCAAAAGUAGUCCCAGUUCGAAUUGUGGGCUGAAACCCGCCCACAUGAAGUCGGAAUUGCUAGUAAUGGCAGGUCAGCAUACUGCCGUGAAUACGUUCCCGGGCCUUGUACACACCGCCCGU
This 498-nucleotide ribosomal RNA is filed under the name uncultured bacterium. RNAcentral's name for it is "partial 16S ribosomal RNA". It matches the Rfam family "Bacterial small subunit ribosomal RNA", at positions 899 to 1397 of the family's 1533-position model. The record is from RNAcentral.